UUUAUUUUUGGCUUAGUAUAAAUUUUGAUACAUUUUGAUUUGCUAAUAAGUUUUGGGUAACUCUUUCCAUCUUAAGACUUUUAUGAUUUUGUGGCAACACAUUAAGUUUGUUUUCUUUCACUGAACAUACCACCAUUAAUUUGCGUGUGGCAUCACUGUUAGCUACAGACAACUAGCCUGGUCGCGUACUACAGGCUUUAGUCUGAAAUUGUACGAAGUCGUAUGCUUUCACACAUUAAUCAUGUAUUUUGCGAACAAUUUCUCACUAAAUCGGGCAGUGCGGGAACAGGGUAAUAUUGUCGUUCCUUUUCCUUUUUGUGUUUGAAGCUGUGGGCGUGGGACUGGGCUAACAAUUUAAUCCAGAUUAAUCUAGGAAUUUUGGUGAUAUGUUUCCUCUGAACGCCGCGGCAACACUGACAACGGCGAAGAUGUACGCGAGAGCUUUAAAAAUUUCUUCGUGAGCUUACUCUGCACAUUUUCUUAGUGUACUACGAUGCAAUAAUGGUGAACAGAAGUACAACAAAGGCAAAUGAUGAUGAAAAAUAAACUACUUUAUUUUUUAAAUGCAGCAAAAGCAAAAGCAGUGGG
Molecule: long non-coding RNA, 588 nt
Organism: Rhagoletis pomonella (apple maggot)
Lineage: Eukaryota; Metazoa; Arthropoda; Insecta; Diptera; Tephritidae
Exons: 3
Source: RefSeq, a predicted model, not a curated record